GACGAACGCUGGCGGCGCGCCUAACACAUGCAAGUCGAGCGGGAAGCUUUUUAAGGAUUCUUCGGAUGGAAUUAAAAAAGUGGAGAGCGGCGGACGGGUGAGUAACGCGUGAGAAACCUGCCCUAUACAGGGGGAUAGCCAUUGGAAACGAUGAUUAAUACCCCAUAUGACCACAGUAUCGCAUGGAUACAGCGUGAAAACUCCGGUGGUAUAGGAUGGUCUCGCGUCUGAUUAGCUAGUGUGGGUAACGCCUACCAAGGCGACGAUCAGUAGCGGCCUGAGAGGGUGACCGGCACACUGGAACUGAGACACGGUCCAGACUCCUACGGGA
This 331-nucleotide ribosomal RNA is filed under the name uncultured bacterium. RNAcentral describes it as "bacterial SSU rRNA". It matches the Rfam family "Bacterial small subunit ribosomal RNA", at positions 28 to 346 of the family's 1533-position model. The record is from RNAcentral.